CAGUCGCCGCGGUAAUACGAAGGGUGCAAGCGUUACUCGGAAUUACUGGGCGUAAAGCGUGCGUAGGCGGUGAGUUAAGUCUGCUGUGAAAUCCCCGGGCUCAACCUGGGAAUGGCAGUGGAUACUGGCUCGCUAGAGUGUGUCAGAGGAUGGUGGAAUUCCCGGUGUAGCGGUGAAAUGCGUAGAGAUCGGGAGGAACAUCAGUGGCGAAGGCGGCCAUCUGGGACAACACUGACGCUGAGACACGAAAGCGUGGGGAGCAAACAGGAUUAGAUACCCCCGUAGUCCCUGUCUCUUAUAC
This 301-nucleotide ribosomal RNA is filed under the name uncultured bacterium. Its description in RNAcentral is "partial 16S ribosomal RNA". It matches the Rfam family "Bacterial small subunit ribosomal RNA", at positions 509 to 807 of the family's 1533-position model. The record is from RNAcentral.